UCCUGUAUGCCUGUCUUGCUCAUUGUUCUUUACGCCUUCGCACGUAGGGUAGCUGUUAUGUUGGUAAGUAUCCUGCACCGGGCUAUCUGGCGACUCGCGAGGAUACCAGGGUAAAUCAGGCGAACUCAAGACAAAGGGCGCCGAUCAAGCCCCUCGCAACCUCUUGCCAACCAAGAGCUACUCCCGGCAAAACGGACUCCCAGCUAAAGCCUCGCCAACUGCGGGAGGCCGAGAUAAAACCACCUUUCCUACUGACCUACGGACCUCGCGAACCCAACUAGAAUUCCCCCGCCCACCGACAAGCAACAGAACCCACUAUUCAGGUGCCUCUACUCACGGCCGAACCAACCCAACCACCCGCGCAGUGCCCGCGCGCUUCACUUACUUGCAUGGAUGCCGUUGGCCCGCAAUGUCGAUCUGCGCGUCGCCGUUGUUGUUGUCUUCUCAUAUAUAAGAGACGGCGUUCUAUUGUAGGCAAAACCAAAGAUAAAGGCAAUCUAACAUCACUCGUCAAGCGAUUUCGACCUCGACUUUUUCUAGUCUUUCUCGUCGUCUAUUUUCUGUAAUCCGUCUUAAUAAAGCUUAGUUGGUACCUGUUGUCUGACUCUGCAUUCUGUGCUGGAAUGGCCAAAACUCGGACUGUCUCGUCCUGGUGUGAUAUCCGUGGUUGGCAUAGGGCCCUCCGUACUUCUGUAUUUGGC
Molecule: long non-coding RNA, 701 nt
Filed under: Volvox carteri
Lineage: Eukaryota; Viridiplantae; Chlorophyta; Chlorophyceae; Chlamydomonadales; Volvocaceae
Description: long non-coding RNA (VCAR_LNC002691)
Source: RNAcentral